AAAAAAAAACCUAAAAUGCUAUUGAAAUUAAACAUGUUAAAUAUAAAAAUGUUUAAACACCGUUCUUUAACAGCUUAAGCUUUUAGAGUACAACGAUUGUUUCACAUGGUAUCAGAGCAGGAGGUCCUGAGUUCGAGUCACGUCAGGCUCCUAGUAUAUUAAUUUCCUCCCAUUUAAUUCAAGCCCACGUCAUGGGCCGAUUAAAAAGUUUCGAGCCCAGACGUGAGGGGAAGUGUUAAAUAUAAAAAUGUUUAAACACCGUUCUUUAACAGCUUAAGCUUUUAGAGUACAACGAUUGUUUCACAAAACAUAAUCAUUUUCAAGGUAGAGCGUACGAAUUGACUUUCAACACCAUUAAAUACGAUUUAAAUUAUGUAAACUUUAUAGAAUAAAAUUUUAUAAUUUUUAUCUUUUUUUUUUAGCCCUAUUAGUAAAUUAUGUCUACAAAUUACGAAAUAUAAUUAUCAGUCAUAUCGUCAAUUUAGAAGCUACAUCACUAAUAGGGCUACAAAAAAAUAGGAU
RNAcentral lists this long non-coding RNA (522 nucleotides) under Ananas comosus (pineapple). RNAcentral's name for it is "long non-coding RNA (ACOM_LNC034493)". Lineage: Eukaryota; Viridiplantae; Streptophyta; Magnoliopsida; Poales; Bromeliaceae. The record is from RNAcentral.